UUGCUCACUUUGGCAGCACAUAUACUAAAAUUGGAACGAUACCAAGAAGAUUAGCAUGGCCCCUGCGCAAGGAUGACACGUAAAUUCAUGAAGUGUUCCAUAUUUAA
Marmota marmota marmota (Alpine marmot) is the source of this 107-nucleotide small nuclear RNA. The record is from Ensembl. Lineage: Eukaryota; Metazoa; Chordata; Mammalia; Rodentia; Sciuridae.